UUUUUGAGCAGGGGACUAUAGCUAUUAGAACUGAGGUCGUGAGAAAGAGAGGAGGAUGAAGAGAACAAUCUAACAUGUGAGAUCAAGAAUGAGAAUGAUAGGAUUGGGAGUAACAGUUGGUCCGAGAAUCUGAACUAGAGCAGGAGCAUGAUUAGGAUCCUUGGAGUGGAGGACAAGCACGAGUGUGGAGACAAUGAGGGACAACCUUGCAUUGGCUUCGCCAUGGAUUCAAAGAUGUAGUGAGCAAGAGUAGGGAGGGAUGAGUAAGCAAUUGGUCUAAAAUGGAAAUGAAAA
Molecule: unclassified non-coding RNA, 294 nt
Filed under: Hevea brasiliensis (rubber tree)
Lineage: Eukaryota; Viridiplantae; Streptophyta; Magnoliopsida; Malpighiales; Euphorbiaceae
Source: RNAcentral